AACGCACAUUGCGCCCGCCGGCAUUCCGGCGGGCAUGCCUGUUCGAGCGUCAUUUCGACCCUCAAGCCCUCCCUAGCGGCUUGGUGUUGGGGACCCUGCGGCUGCCGCAGGCCCCGAAAUGCAGUGGCGGUCCCGACUGACACCCUAAGCGUAGUUGCAUUUUCUCGCUUCUGGCGUGGCGGCGGGCGACUUGCCGUAAAACCCACGGGCGGGCCUACGGGCUCCCCGUGCUACCCAAGGUUGACCUCGGAUCAGGUAGGAAUACCCGCUGAACUUAA
RNAcentral lists this unclassified non-coding RNA (278 nucleotides) under uncultured fungus. RNAcentral's name for it is "partial contains 5.8S ribosomal RNA, internal transcribed spacer 2, and large subunit ribosomal RNA". The stretch from base 1 to 52 matches the Rfam family "5.8S ribosomal RNA", at positions 103 to 154 of the family's 154-position model. Lineage: Eukaryota; Fungi. The record is from RNAcentral.